Molecule: ribosomal RNA, 253 nt
Filed under: uncultured bacterium
Lineage: Bacteria
Description: partial 16S ribosomal RNA
Rfam family: Bacterial small subunit ribosomal RNA
Source: RNAcentral
UACGAAGGGUGCAAGCGUUACUCGGAAUUACUGGGCGUAAAGCGUGCGUAGGUGGUGAGUUAAGUCUGUCGUGAAAGCCCCGGGCUCAACCUGGGAAUGGCGAUGGAUACUGGCUCGCUAGAGUGCGGUAGAGGAGAGUGGAAUUCCCGGUGUAGCAGUGAAAUGCGUAGAGAUGUGGAGGAACACCAGUGGCGAAGGCGACUCUUUAGCCUGUAACUGACGCUGAGGCGCGAAAGCGUGGGGAGCAAACAGG